AGAGUUUGAUCAUGGCUCAGAACGAACGCUGGCGGCGUGCCUAACACAUGCAAGUCGAACGAGAAAUUCCGACUUCGGUUGGAAGAGUAAAGUGGCGCACGGGUGAGUAACGCGUGGGUAACCUACCCCUGAAUUUGGGAUAACUUCGCGAAAGCGUUGCUAAUACCGAAUACUGUCCCAUUGGCGGCUAGUCUUUGGGAUGAAAGGUGACCUCUUCAUGAAAGUUGCCGUUGAGGGAUGGGCCCGCGUACCAUUAGCUUGUUGGUAGGGUAAUGGCCUACCAAGGCGACGAUGGUUAGCUGGUCUGAGAGGAUGAUCAGCCACACUGGAACUGGAACACGGUCCAGACUCCUACGGGAGGCAGCAGUGAGGAAUUUUGCGCAAUGGGGGAAACCCUGACGCAGCAACGCCGCGUGAGUGAAGAAGGCCUUCGGGUUGUAAAGCUCUGUCAAGUGGGAAAAAAGUCUCGCUGUGAAUAGCUGCGAGAUCUGAUGGUACCACUAAAGGAAGUACCGGCUAACUCCGUGCCAGCAGCCGCGGUAAUACGGAGGGUGCAAGCGUUGUUCGGAAUUACUGGGCGUAAAAGCGCGUGCAGGCGGUUUGGCAAGUCAGAUGUGAAAGCCCUGGGCUCAACCCAGGAAGUGCAUUUGAAACUGCUUUUCUUGAGUAUGGGAGAGGAGAGUGGAAUUCCCAGUGUAGAGGUGAAAUUCGUAGAUAUUGGGAGGAACACCCGUGGCGAAGGCGACUCUCUGGACCAAUACUGACGCUGAGACGCGAAAGCGUGGGGAGCAAACAGGAUUAGAUACCCUAGUAGUCC
This 817-nucleotide ribosomal RNA is filed under the name uncultured bacterium. RNAcentral describes it as "bacterial SSU rRNA". It matches the Rfam family "Bacterial small subunit ribosomal RNA", at positions 8 to 796 of the family's 1533-position model. The record is from RNAcentral.